RNAcentral lists this unclassified non-coding RNA (317 nucleotides) under Hevea brasiliensis (rubber tree). Lineage: Eukaryota; Viridiplantae; Streptophyta; Magnoliopsida; Malpighiales; Euphorbiaceae. The record is from RNAcentral.
UCGUUUCUCUCUCUGCCUGAAAAAUAGAACAAACAACAUUCAACCUCUGUGUUGUUUGAAUCGUCAGAUCUCUCUCUGAAUUUGAUCAGAUCUAAAUCAGAUUUGGGCAAUGCAUUCUAAUCGAGAUAAAGAGGAAAUGGAUUCUGGAGGAGAAAUUGAAGGUGUCGGAGAUGAAAAUGAGUUCCCAUCAUCAGCUGUUAGGGGACGAAAAUAUAGUCCUGUGGUGGCGCAUGAUAGUGAUCGGGCUGUCUUGGAGAUGUCCUCUAUUGAUCCUCGAUCUUCAUCCUCUCCUUAUUCAAAACAAGAUCUCAAGAAAG